GUCAUCCUGUGUCUCCAGGGCAGCCCUUUGGCACGUUCUGUGUCCAACUCUAGACAGAGCAAGUGGCCGGCAGGGACCACACCUUGGCCUCCUGUGCCUGGCAGGAUGGCAACCCACCAACUAAAAUACUCCUUCAGAAACAUUUAAAGGUGCAGGAGCCUGGAGCUGCUGGUGGCCUUCUCCACCCCAUUCGGGAGAGACUGACACUGAGCCAGAGCAGGAGUGGCGGAGACGAAUGCCCGGUGAAAGUGAUACGGACUCGGAGGAGAGGGGCGUCCCUGAAGCCGGACGCGCCCUGUGAAGUUCCUGGUCUUCUGAAGCCAUUAUUCCAAUGUCUUCCUCCGAGGCAGAUUGAGGUUGAUGGACUAUCUACGUGAUCUGGCACGUGCCUACAUCCCUGGACGCAUCCUGUGCGGCUUUCCCCUCACCCACUCGGCCCCUCCACCGGAGUCCCUCACCCCUGCUCACUCCCACCGGCAGGACUUUGACCAGCUGCUCCCUCUCCUCUGAAGCUUCUGGAACACACGAUGCACGUGCAUCCAAGCGAUACAAGAGACCCCGCAGAGGAGAAAGAGGCCUGCAGGUGCCUGUGCUUCCCACUUUCUCACAGAGCCUUUUCCUGUGUGGUUUGUGCAACCAAGAACAUCUACUCUACUGAGUUUUCCCAAAA
Prionailurus viverrinus (fishing cat) is the source of this 670-nucleotide long non-coding RNA. RefSeq lists it as uncharacterized. The transcript is spliced from 4 exons. Lineage: Eukaryota; Metazoa; Chordata; Mammalia; Carnivora; Felidae. The record is from RefSeq and is a predicted model, not a curated record.